This 253-nucleotide ribosomal RNA is filed under the name uncultured bacterium. Its description in RNAcentral is "partial 16S ribosomal RNA". It matches the Rfam family "Bacterial small subunit ribosomal RNA", at positions 524 to 776 of the family's 1533-position model. The record is from RNAcentral.
UACGUAGGGGGCAAGCGUUGUCCGGAAUUAUUGGGCGUAAAGCGCGUGUAGGCGGCUCGAUAAGUCUGCUGUGAAAGUCCAGGGCUCAACCCUGGAACGCCGGUGGAUACUGUCGAGCUCGAGUCCGGAAGAGGCGAGUGGAAUUCCUGGUGUAGCGGUGAAAUGCGCAGAUAUCAGGAAGAACACCAAUGGCGAAGGCAGCUCUCUGGGACGGUACUGACGCUGAGACGCGAAAGCGUGGGGAGCGAACAGG